GGUGUAGCUCAAGUGGUAGGGUGCAUGCCUUGCACGCAUGAGGUCCUGGGUUCUAUCCCCAGCACC
Molecule: transfer RNA, 66 nt
Filed under: Camelus bactrianus (Bactrian camel)
Lineage: Eukaryota; Metazoa; Chordata; Mammalia; Artiodactyla; Camelidae
Also listed under: 2 other names
Rfam family: tRNA
About the family: Transfer RNA (tRNA) molecules are approximately 80 nucleotides in length. Their secondary structure includes four short double-helical elements and three loops (D, anti-codon, and T loops).
Source: Rfam by way of RNAcentral